RNAcentral lists this ribosomal RNA (252 nucleotides) under uncultured bacterium. RNAcentral describes it as "partial 16S ribosomal RNA". It matches the Rfam family "Bacterial small subunit ribosomal RNA", at positions 525 to 776 of the family's 1533-position model. The record is from RNAcentral.
ACAGAGGGUGCGAGCGUUAAUCGGAAUUACUGGGCGUAAAGGGCGCGUAGGCGGUCUGGUCAGUCGGAUGUAAAAGCCCCGGGCUUAACCUGGGAAUGCCAUUCGAUACUGCCCGACUUGAGUAUGGUAGAGGGAAGCGGAAUUCCGGGUGUAGCGGUGAAAUGCGUAGAGAUCCGGAGGAACACCAGUGGCGAAGGCGGCUUCCUGGACCAAUACUGACGCUGAGGCGCGAAAGCGUGGGGAGCAAACAGG